AUAUUGCACAAUGGGCGAAAGCCUGAUGCAGCAACGCCGCGUGAGCGAUGAAGGCUUUNGGGUCGNANAGCUCUGUCCUAAGGGANGAUAAUGACGGUACCUUAGGAGGAAGCCCCGGCCAACUACGUGCCAGCAUCCGCGGUAAUACGUAGGGGGCAAGCGUUGUCCGGAAUUAUUGGGCGUAAAGGGUGCGUAGGCGGCCUUUUAAGUCAGAUGUGAAAGACCACGGCUUAACCGUGGGGUUGCAUUUGAAACUGGAGGGCUUGAGUAUCGGAGAGGGUAGUGGAAUUCCCAGAGUAGCGGUGGAAUGCGUAGAUAUUGGGAGGAACACCAGUGGCGAAGGCGACUACCUGGACGAAAACUGACGCUGAGGCACGAAAGCUAGGGGAGCAAACA
This 396-nucleotide ribosomal RNA is filed under the name uncultured bacterium. Its description in RNAcentral is "partial 16S ribosomal RNA". It matches the Rfam family "Bacterial small subunit ribosomal RNA", at positions 361 to 774 of the family's 1533-position model. The record is from RNAcentral.